Pseudoliparis swirei is the source of this 1456-nucleotide long non-coding RNA. RefSeq lists it as uncharacterized. The record is from RefSeq and is a predicted model, not a curated record. NCBI's taxonomy places the organism in Eukaryota, Metazoa, Chordata, Actinopteri, Perciformes, Liparidae. The transcript has 9 exons.
AAGAACCUGAACCUGACUGGCAGACACAUUAUGUCAGAAUAAUUAGAUCAUGCGAUGAUUACUUGGUGGCAAGGCGAUGGUUAACAAAAUAUAUGUCCUGUGACACAUCUGAUCUCCAUUCAGAAGAGGAGGCAAGUUCUAAAAGGAGAAAGCCAAUGCCUGUCCAUUUCUUUGGGGACUCGGAUGCAGACAGCGAGACUGAAAAUCGCCACCCCAAAAAAAAAAAGGGUCCAACCACUAGCAGGACAGUUGCCCCUCCUCCAACUAUUGUCCCAUCUCCUCCACAGACUUCAUCACCAGCAGGACAGCGAACAAGCCAUGCAGGGUACACACCAACCUGGCGAGGGGCGAGGUGUGGUUCAGACACCAUUGCCUGCUGUGCUGCUCAAGUUCAAAUGAUGGCCAUGCUGGAGACGCUUACACAGCAGGUCCAUCAAUUAACACAGCAGGUCCAUCAAUUAACUUCCAAAAUUGACAGCUUUGUUCGCCCCAGCGUGACACAAAUGUCUGGUCAAGAAGUGGAGUGGAGAGACCCGUUUCCGUUGACCACAAUGGAGGAAGUGGACAUGUUUGAGCAACAGCUCAAAGAUCCAGCCAACGCUUUAAUGAAGAAGAGUGUGACUUCAUCACCAGCAGGACAGCGAACAAGCCAUGCAGGGUACACACCAACCUGGCGAGGGGCGAGGUGUGGUUCAGACACCAUUGCCUGCUGUGCUCAAAGAUCCAGCCAACGCUAUAAUGAAGGAGAGUGAUUUCCUCCCUGGGAACAAUCGGAGGACAUGAUGUAAAACGUGCAACGUGGAACAUCCUCGCACGCAUGUUCACUGAUGAUGUUGGCAAGUCCAUAAAUUGGAAAGGGAUUCAUGGAAAAAAAUCUUUCAAUCUAAUGACGUCCAAGACUUUGCUCCUGCGUGAAUGUUACUCAACUAUACCUUUACAUAAUAGUUAUAUGAUAUAUUAGCUCUAUGGAGUGGAGAUGGUCAGCUGCUUCAGGUUCCUCGGGGUCAACAUCAGCAACGACCUCACCUGGUCUGCUCACACAGACAAGGUGGUCAGCGGCCAAGAAGCGCCUCUUCUUCCUGAGGAGACUGAAGAAGUUUGGCAUGGAUUCAGUCAUCCUCACCAAUUUCUACAGAUGCACAAUAGAAAGCAUCCUGACUGGGUGCAUCACAGUGUGGGAGCUGCACAGCCAAGGACCGCAAGGCCCUACGCAGUGUGGUCAGGACUGCGGAGUUCAUCAUCGAUGCUGUCAGAAAGAAUCACUCAACACAUGCGUCCACUGACGACCAGGUUCUUAAGCACGCCAUUCGGUGGUUCAACCUGGCAGCAGACCGGGGUAGCUCCAGGAGGCGUGCUACUGUAGACGUCCCCCACACUGAACAGACUUAAAAUAUAUCUUUUUUAAAUGUGUGUGUAUAUAAAUUUGUCCUUUCAAAUAAAAAACUGUUUGACAUUA